This 864-nucleotide ribosomal RNA is filed under the name uncultured bacterium. Its description in RNAcentral is "bacterial SSU rRNA". It matches the Rfam family "Bacterial small subunit ribosomal RNA", at positions 28 to 895 of the family's 1533-position model. The record is from RNAcentral.
GAUGAACGCUAGCGGCAGGCUUAACACAUGCAAGUCGAGGGGUAGUCAUCUUCGGAUGAUGAGACCGGCGCACGGGUGCGUAACGCGUAUACUUUCUACCUUUUACAGAGGGAUAGCCCAGAGAAAUUUGGAUUUGAACCUCUCAGAAUUGCAAAAUGGCAUCAUUCGACAAUUAAAGUCACAACGGUGAAAGAUGAGCAUGCGUCCCAUUAGCUUGUUGGUAAGGUAACGGCUUACCAAGGCUACAACGGGUAGGGGGCCUGAGAGGGAGAUCCCCCACACUGGUACUGAGACACGGACCAGACUCCUACGGGAGGCAGCAGUGAGGAAUAUUGGUCAAUGGACGCAAGUCUGAACGAGCCCAUGCCGCGUGCAGGAUGACGGCCCUAUGGAUUGUAACCUGCUUUUGCGCAAGAAGAAACAACAUUUCAUGUAAUGUCUUGACGGUACUGUGAGAAUAAGAAUCGGCUAUCUCCUUGCUGGCAGCCGCGGUAGUACUAGAGGAUCCAAGCGCUAUCAGGAAUCAUUGUGGGUAAAAGGGCCGUACGCGGUUUUAUUAUGUCAGUGGUGAAAACCCAUCGCUCUACGUUGGAACUCGCUGUUGAUACCGCUAAACUUGAAAUAUUAAGAAGUACCUAGAAUAUGUAGUGUAUCGGUGAAAUGCGUAAUAGAUUACAUGGAAUACCAAUUGCNAAGGCAGGUUAAUACUAAUGGAUGGACGCUGAUGGACAAAGCGUGAGUAGCGAAGAUGAUCACUUUCCUGGUAGUCCCCGCCACUAUCCAUGUAGACCACCUCUGGAGCAACUUGUAGUGACUAAACGAACGUGAUGAGUAUCCCACCUGGGGGAGUACGUUCGCAGGGAU